GUAUAUUAGAAAAGAACUGACUCGCAGGUUGUACCUGAUAGACCUACUUAAAUCUUUUGUUUUAUUCUUUCUGUUGCAUAGAAGUAUAAGUUUAUUACUCUGUUUUAUUGUAAGUUAUUUCACAUGGGAUCUGUGUGCCUGCUAUGAUUAUUACUUUAAUACCAUAAGCCCACUACACUUAUUAUGAGAGUGGGAUAGUGUAAAUGUGUUACAUUGUUUGCAUGAUGAGCUCAGUAUUUUUAUAACUGAGACAAAAAGUCACUUCAUUAGUAUUUGAAAGUUAAUUCCCCGUAUGGGAUUAAUUGUAUAGAACACCAAUCAGCACAUCUUCCCUGCC
This is a non-coding RNA of Pelobates cultripes (western spadefoot toad), 337 nucleotides long. The record is from the annotation of a GenBank genome assembly. NCBI's taxonomy places the organism in Eukaryota, Metazoa, Chordata, Amphibia, Anura, Pelobatidae.